Molecule: RNA transcript, 2395 nt
Organism: Sorghum bicolor (sorghum)
Lineage: Eukaryota; Viridiplantae; Streptophyta; Magnoliopsida; Poales; Poaceae
Gene name: protein kri1
Exons: 4
Source: RefSeq, a predicted model, not a curated record
UCCUGGCACGCCGCCGAUACCGCCGCCCUCAGCCCUUAGCUUGCCACCCUCCUUCGGCUUGCGCUGCUGAGGGAUCGCUGGAGAGAAUGGGGAAGGGGAAGAAGUCGAAGGAGAAGGAGAUGGAGAAGAAACCGGUGGACAUCCUCGCGGGGUCCGACGAGGACUCCGACGGCGGGGAGGAUCUCUCCAAGGUCCAGAUCAACGAGGAGUACGCGCGCCGCUUCGAGCACAACAAGCGGCGGGAGGCGCUGCAGCGCCUCGAGGAGCGCAGGAAGCAGGGCCUCGUCCCCGCCUCUGACGACGGCGAGUCGGAUUCCGAGUCCGAGUCGUCUGAGGAGGACGAGGAGGCCGCCAUUGCCUCGCGCCUCGUCGACCGCCGCGUGUUCGAGGUGAUCCGCCGCAUCCGCAGCGGUGACCCUCGCAUCCUAGACAAGGACGCCAAGGUCUACUCGGAGUCGGAGGAGGAAGAGGGCAGCGAAGAAGGUGAGGGCGCCGAGAAGGAAGAAGAGUUCAAGCAGGGGAAGAAAAAGGCCAAGAAGGAGAAGCCUCUGUACCUCAAGGACGUCAAUGCCCGCCACCUGCUCGAGGAGGGCCCGGAGUUCGCAGCGCAGGCCAGCCGGAGCAGCAGCAAGUUCGAGAGGAUCUCCUAUGAUGAGCAGCAGAAGAAGGGUUUGGAGGCUUUCCUUGAGGCACAGAAAGAAGUAUUACGCGGCGACGACGACGACGACGAUUUGUUCCAGGUGAAGCCCAAGGCUAGAGCAGGGGCUGAUGAUGAAGUGGAGGAGGAUGAGGAGGAGAAGCAGACCAAGGAACUUGCUGGUAAGGUCUUUGGGAACGAUGAGGAGCUGGAUGAGAACGAGAAGUUCUUGAAGGAAUUUUUCCUUAAGAGGCCCUACCUUGAGGCAGAGAAGAGGAAGUCCUAUCUGGAUGAUAUCCAGGAAUUAUCAGAUGAUGAAGAGGAGCUCGAGAUUCAGGAAGAAAAUGAGCAUGGUUAUAAUUACCGGCAUGAGGAGGCCAUGGCAUCAGGGGCAGUGGUGGCGGACCGGGUAAUGGGACAUUCAAGGGUUGUUGAGGGGUCAGUGAGGAAGAAGGAGAGCAGCAGGAAGCAGCAGCGCAAGAGCAAAGAGGAGCGGAUGGCCCGUGUUAAGCAAGAGCAGGCAGAGGAGCUGAAGCAUCUCAAGAAUUUGAAGAAGAAAGAGAUUGCAGAGAAGCUUGAGAGGAUCCUAAUGAUUGCUGGGAUUGAAGGUGAUGCUGCGUGUAAGCUUGGUGCUGAUGACUUGGAGGAGGAUUUUGAUCCAGAGGAUUAUGACAAGAAAAUGCAGGAGAUGUUUGAUGACAGUUACUAUGAGGCUGAUGAUGUUGAUCCUGAGUUUGGAAGUGGUGAGGAGAUGGAUUUGAAGAAGCCAUAUUUUGACAAGGAAGAUGAAUUGCUUGGGCUUCCUAAGGGCUGGGCUAGUGAACAUUCAAAAGAAGAGUCUACUGCCACCGAUGCAAAAGGUGCAAAAGGGAAGAUCUCUCUCAAAGACAAGGUGGAGCUUGAGAAAGAGAUGGAAGAGUACUACAAGUUAGACUAUGAGGACACUAUUGGAGAUAUCAAGACUCGGUUCAAGUAUAAACAGGUUAAGCCCAACAGUUUUGGUCUGAGUGCCUGUGAUAUAUUGGAAGCAGAUGACAAGGAUUUGAACCAGUAUGUAUCCAUUAAGAAGCUAUCUCCUUAUAGAGAGGAUGAAUGGAAGGUUACACAUCAUAAGAGGCAGAGCAAGGAUUUCAUCCUUGGAGGCCAGAAGAAAGGGAAGAAGGACAAAUCUGUCAAGAAAUCUAGGUCUGAGGAAGGCGGCCCUAGUUCUUCAAAAACAGAGAAAGACAGGCUGACAAAUGGGCAAGAGUCAACGGAUGACAAGAAAAAGACUACCCGAAGUGAGCGAAGGAAGCGUCGUAAGGCUGACCUAAAGAUAUCCGAUGAUCGAUUAGUGGCAUUUGGAAAGACAAAUUCGAAGCGUCACAAGAGCCAUUGACUUUCUGAGAUUCAUCUAAGUACAUCUGGGGAAUUUUGCGGAUACUCGAUACUGCAUAAACUGGUGCACUACUGUAUUAUCUGCUGCUAGUCUCGAAACCAAUGGAUCAGAUAGCUGAUGAAGUGAUGGUUUAUCUUCUGUAUCCUUGGAAAUAACUGAUGGCGCUUCAGCUGGAGAUACUCCAUUAACUGAGAAAACAAAUGAAGGGCUCUAGUCCAGUUGGCUAGAGAAUCCUGGCGGCACCCCGCAGGUCUUGGGUUCGACUCUCCAUGGGAUCAAAUUUCAGACUGGGUUAAAAAAAUCUCCUCGUCCGCUCCACACCAAAGCACAGGUCUUGAGGGCCGGCCCAGUUCUCACAUGGGCAACGAUUUCCGCUAUGU